This 173-nucleotide non-coding RNA is filed under the name uncultured Faecousia sp. Its description in RNAcentral is "malK-I RNA". It matches the Rfam family "malK-I RNA". Lineage: Bacteria; Bacillati; Bacillota; Clostridia; Eubacteriales; Oscillospiraceae. The record is from RNAcentral.
UGUGUCUACUCCACACAAUAGGCACAGGAUCACUGUUAAAAAGGAGGAAACAUCCGUCUGACUCACGGUGCGGCAGUGUGGAGACCUGUCGUAAUGCUUCCGCUGUAUUACCCGGCGGAACGCGAGAGCGUGCGCGAAAGACUCGGCACGUUUAGAGUCGAAACAGCAUGGCA